RNAcentral lists this transfer RNA (68 nucleotides) under Eupolyphaga sinensis. Its description in RNAcentral is "tRNA-Cys". Lineage: Eukaryota; Metazoa; Arthropoda; Insecta; Blattodea; Corydiidae. The record is from RNAcentral.
GGUUUUAUAUUCACAAAUGAUGCUAGAUUGCAAAUCUAGAGGAGUAAAUAAAAUGUUUACUAAGACUU